AUUCCUUGAGCUCAAUACCCAUAAACCCAAAUAAUAACCUAGACCUAACCUAUAAAAAACACUAGGACCUAAGAGCUGAAAAUACACAAAAAAAUAUAGACCCUAGAUCCUAACAUAAAAUCCCCAGCAGCGUUUUUCAUCAGAGACCCCCUACCCCCCGAGCAGUCAUCUUCUUCUUCACUCUUAAUGCACACACAGAUAAAAAAAAAAAAGAACCCUUCAGCCGCAACUCCAAAAAAACAGCCACCCUCCACUUGAACAAAAGCAACGAACACCUCACAGCACACACCACCCUUCUAACCCAAAGAACCAGUUACCCACAAUCAUGUAAUAACCACCAGAAGUAGAGCAUUUUUCUCAUUUCCAAAAAAAAAACAAAUUUCCAUCUUUAUGUAUUAACUCAAACUUAAUCUUAAGGACAUACAUUAUUCACGAUAAAAGUGAGGCGAAUUUCCAGUAAAGGAAAAGAGGUGAAUGAACAGUAACGAAAAAUACAGUGGUUACUGGCUGCUCUUUAGACUGCUCCGGUUCUAAUUCGAGGUCAUGUUCGUGUUUUGGAUCCGGAUUUGUUUGGUGGUUUUGGUCUUUGCUAACUGAACCAUCAUCAUCAUUGUACAGUCCUUUCUCAGAGUUUUAGUUAAUCCAGUUGUGAAGAACUUUGGCUACAUAAAGGUUCUAUCUAUCUCUUGACUUUAAUAUUCAGACUAUUUCAAAUUGUUUAAUGUUAAAAAUUGUUCUUAAUUUUUUUUUUGUAUUGAGAUUGGCGAAUUUUUCAGACUUGGUAAAAUCUUGGUCACUUUUGGUUUUUUUGCGAAUUUGUGAAGAGCUUGCUAAUGUUAAUAUGCAGAUAAAAUAGAGGAUUGCUGACUUGUAAAGCAAAAGAAGUUAUAAGAUAUAAGAUAGAAGGAUAUUUUCUAUAAGAUAGAAGGAUAUUUUCAUUAACCUUUUUUUAUUCCUUUUUUAUGGCCAAUUGAUGCUUUAUGUACUGCUACCAUUUUUAGUCCUACCAUUGAUUUUAGAAAGCAAUUAAUAUGAUGUUAAUUAAUCUUCUGGAGUGCCUUGGUUUAAAAUAGGUCAUUGUGGCUAAAUGGAUGGAAGCUUCAAACUAUCUGAGCUAAAAACGAGUCUAUGAAAUGCGUGUGUUCAGUUUUUUUCUGGUUUGGUCUUGUAAUGUGCAAACGACAAUUACAUUGUAUAAAUGGCUAUUUUAUGAUUUCAAAUAGCUGCAUGACUCGUGAACAUUGUAGCUUGCUUUAGGCGCGAUUAAUAAAUAAAUUAUCACGACUACGGGUACGGUUCCCGUGACGUAGUUGCAAUAUACAAUUUUCAAAUCCGGGUGUACAUUUCAUGUGACCCGAUUCUAAUCUCCAAUAAGGUUAAAUAGAACAUGUCGUGAAUCACGGGUGAAUUUAAUGUAGUGUGGCUUGCGAUGUGUUUUAAAUAACCUUGAAAUAAUUCCUUAAAUAAAUAAAAGCGGUUUUAAAGUUAAAAACGCACAUAGGUUUAAAAGUGUUUUAAAAUCAGAUAAUUAAGCCAAUAAUAAUAGUUGAGCGACCGUGCUAGAACCACAGAAUCCGGGAAUGUCUAACACCUUCUCCCUGGUUAACAGAAUUCCUUAUCCGAAUUUCUAUGUUCGCGGACUAUAAAACAGAGUCAAACUUUCCUCGAUUCGAGAUUUUAAACAGGUGACUUGGGACACCAUAAAUUAUCCCAAGUAGCGACUCUGAAUCUUAAACAACAAUCACGUUUUGAUUGUUACUUAAAUUGAAAAAAACUCUCUUAUACCCUUCCGGGGUAGUAGAAAAAGGAGGUGUGACAACUCUGGAGACUAUGCUGGAGACAAGAACCCAGAACCUCUGGUUCAGGGUUCAGAAUUAGAGCUUAGAAUAUCUGUUAUAAUUGACUUUAUUUAUUAUCUGAUUCUUAUAUGUUUGAGCCUAAUGUGCUAAUUGCCGCUUUUUACCGCUUUGAUAUUGUUUGGACUGUAUAUAAAUUGUUACGAAACCCUCCUCUCUCUGAGUCUUCUAAAUCAUCUAGGAAGUAUGCACUUCAUGUGACUUAUUUUCUGUUAGAGUCAUAUCCCAAUUUAGAACGAGUUUCGAACAAGUUGCAAGGCUGGUGAAGCUUCUGUAUUCCCGGUAUGCUGCCCCCCCCAGCUCGAGCUAUCCGCUCGGGUAAGCCAGGUCUAGAACAAAUAAACCCAGGUUUUUAAACAUAGUAUAACAUAGCCUCAUGACGGAUCUCUAGUAGGAACGCUUGUUUGCAUCACAUGAAUUUGACUUUGAGGACUCAACACAGGGGUUGGGUCCGUCUAGGACAGGCGUACCCAAAAUAAUAGACCAUCUUGAUGCAUUCUAUGUGCUACAUGUUGCAUUUCUUCAAGGGUAAAAUGGUCAUUUGGCGGAACAAUGAUAGUUGAGGGCAAAUGAAAAAAGGAAAAAAAUGAGAAAGAAAAGAAGGUGAAUUGUGAAAAUAAAGCAAGUAGGGCCCAGUUAUAUUUUUCUUUCACAUUUUUUUAAAGAAAAAAGACAAAUAAGAAAGCAUGAAAAAUCCAAAAAGAUUUUACACUUUCCCAUCAUUUUUCCAAAAAAAAAAAUCAAAAAAAGAAAAUUCAAAAAGAGUUUAUAUGUUUCAUCAUUUUUUCAAAACAAAAGACAAAAAAUAUUUUUUUUCUGAAUUAGUUGCUAUAUUUAAUUCUCGCCCGUAUCCAAUAUGCUCGAACUACGCAUACCUGAUUCUCGUCUUUCGGGGCGGGAUACGUAGGCAACCCACAUAGGGUCCGGUCUUCCUAGUAAGUUUUAGGUUCUUGGCUUCGUGAGGGCUUAGCCAAAUCUUGCAUUUUUAGCCACUAUUAGCCACAUAGGUUAAUUUUAGAAAAAUAGUCACAAUCAUGUCUUGCAUGUGUCCAACAUGAAGGGUUAUUGUCUCACAUAUCGUUCUAGGUCUUUAACUUUAUUUGGUCUUAAUUUUCUCAUACAGGUGUGAACCUACUUACCGGAGUUUGGGCAUGACAGGCGCCCUAGCACCAUCCAGUCAGGGUCGAUCAUUCAGGAGCUUGAUUAAGGAGAUUUUUUUUACUUAUUAUGUUUUGAGUCUGUUGUUCUUUUUUUAUGUCGUCUUUUACCUUCUAGUUUUGUACAGUAAUAUCGAG
Molecule: long non-coding RNA, 3151 nt
Filed under: Nicotiana tabacum (common tobacco)
Lineage: Eukaryota; Viridiplantae; Streptophyta; Magnoliopsida; Solanales; Solanaceae
Description: long non-coding RNA (NTAB_LNC001663)
Source: RNAcentral